AAAAAAAUAAAAACAACUUACUGCCUUGACCAUAUCCUUCUAAUCAGUCAAACCCAAGGCUCUUUCUUAUCUCCAUAACCAACUCGUGGACCUUUCCAGGUUCUGCAAGAGACUUGGCUACACUAUCUUUUUGCAGGCACCUUUUAGCCCAUGCAAUGAUCUUGGGACAUUGAGCUUCUAUGCUGAAGUUUCCGAUGGUCUCAUAAGUAGAAAACCCGCAACAGAAAGGAAGAAAGGCAAUAUCCACAUACCCCAGAGUCUCACCCCCAAAAUAAGGCUUCUCUCCUAGUUCUCCCUCCAAUAACUCAAGGCAUUCAAAGAAACCCUUCUUUGCCGCCUCCAUUUCUUCUCCUUUUGUUGUCCAUAUCUUCCUAGAAAGAUCAUGUAUCUGAAGAUUCACAGCACUUCAUCACAAAAAUAAUAUAGCAGAACACAAAACCUAAGACGUGCACAAACAAUAUUGUCUUUAAGGAUAUUUACUUUCCUUAAAGAUAUUUACCCACAUAAAAUUAUUAUCCACCAGGAUUCAAUAGGUUCUUCCUCGAAAGGAGGGAUGCAAAAACAACAAGGCAAAUACCAACAAGAAAAUCCAGUAAGUUUAAGUGUUUUAAGUUAAGUGGUAUUUUGUGUUUUUCUAAUAUGAGAUAUAAAAAUAUUUUUACUUUAAAUACUUCAAUUUAAAAAAAAAAACCAAAUAUUUCUGAUAAAAAAUAAAAACAUUUUGAAAUAAUCUCUGAAAACGUUUUCCAAUAUAAAAUAAUUUUUUUUUAAAAUAACCUCUAAGAAUUCAUUUUUACAGCACAUAAUUGAUAUUACAGUAACAUAUAUCGCAGUAGCAAAGGAAUAUAUAUUUGUCCUCACGCAAGCAUAGAUACAUGUAUCGAAGGGGGACCAAAGAUUUAGCAAGAUUAAAGGUAUAUAUAUCCAUACCUUUUUAUCAAUAAAAUCAGCCCAGAACAUGGACUGAGCUCUUUCAUAAGGAUCAGAAGGUAGCAAAGGAGUCUUGCCCCUCCACACAUCAUCAAUAUACUGAACAAUAAUAAGGGACUCGCAAACUGGUUUUCCUCUGUGGACGAGAACUGGAAUCUUCUUGUAGACUGGGUUCAUCUGAAGAAGCAAUGCACUCUUGUCCCUCAAGUCCUGUUCACUGUACUCAUACUUGACUCCCUUCUCUGCCAAUGCUAUUUUAACUCUCAUGCCAAAAGGGCUUGCCCAAAAAUCCAGCAGUGUCACCUCAUCAGCCAUUGUUGUUGUGAAAAAGAGUAAAACUGAAUCACAGAUAGUUUUUUUCUCGCCUUUCAGAAUGGCUGUGCUCUUGAUAGUGGAAAGUAGAAAUCUUUAUAGCAUAUCUGUCUUUGCAGAAAGAUGUAGUGGCGGAAAUAAAUAAGUGGAAAAUGUGCUGUGCUAGUGCCCAGUGGGCAAUUGGAUACCAUAACGCAUUUUCAUGUUUGUUCCUUUCUAUGUCUUCAACUACAUCACACCAACCGGUCAAUGAUUCCUGAAAUCUUAGAGUUAAUUACCCUGACAAAAUGAGAUAAUUAUUCAUAAAUUUGAGAAAUUAUCACCGGAAUUCAUAUUAUAUACGAUCAAUAUAUAUUUUAUUAGGGGGAUUGUGUAGGGAAAAUAAAAUAUAUGAUAACGAGAGUAUUUCUUAAGUGAUAUUUUUUUUUUAUUAUUAUUCAAAGUAAGCAAUAAUCUUGCCAACAAACUUUUUCAGUUUUUGCCUGAAGAAAACUAAGGAUAGCUUUGGUAAUUUCAAGUCAAUUUAUAUACGAUUUGUUUUUGCCAUGGGUCCAUAUAUCAGUGUUAUGGGAAGCUCGAAUGUGUGGAAACCACCAAAUCUGGGCUCGAAACUUUUUAAAAAAAAACUUGCAAUCAUUUUCCUGUGAACAUCAAAUUAUUGUCAUUUUCUUGAGAAUUCACUAUUCACGUGUCAACAACCCUAUUCUUGUCUGACCUGAUAACUAGGAUUUUGCUGUGUUCAAGGUAUAAUGGCCAAGGAGUAGCUAUUUUGAGAUUUCUUUCAUGCUUAAAUUUAGAAAAUUAAGGAUGUAGUGGGAUUUAGGAGGAGGGACAUAGCACGUAUCUCCAUGUUGUGCAGGACCCAUCAAGCCCUUUCUGAUUUUGGUUGGGGUAUGCCUAUGAAGGUGGAGAUCGACUCCUUGCAUUAAUAAGACAGGAUCAAUCUCUAUGCAAUAUGGUUAUUGGUUUCAUCAAUGAUUAUCCGAAAAAAAUCUCUAUGCAGGAGAAGGCAGAUGGAAGGGGUGGAAUUGAGAUUGGCUUUGUUUUAUUAAAGCAGAAAAUGGAGAUCUUCAAUUCUCUAUUUGUCGAUGGUAGUACUCUUGUCUUGAACCAAGACCAGAUUGCUAGUGGAGAACAGCAGUAAGAGAACAGCAAAUGUAGGCAAAACAAAUAUUUAACAGUAGCUAUCAGAUUUCAAGCCCGUUCGGCUACGCAGUACUUCUGAGAUGCAAAUUGUGCUUAAUUCGCAUGAAAAAGCUUUAAAACUAAAAUAUUUGUUUUUUUUCACGCGAACCACAAUUUACACUGUGUAACAAAGCGAAGCCUAUGAUAAUCGUGUAGCAGUAUGAUAAUUGUGUCAGCUUAUUUUACCAUUUACGAAAGCCAAGAUGAUAGAUAUUCAUGACUUAAUUAUGAGCAACAGAUGUUAUCUACUAAUCUCUAAAUUAUAUUAUUUUCGAAAUAUUUAUUAUUUUGUGUUAAUUCAGUUUCGUAAUAAUUAAUAUUCACUUGAAUAGGAUAACAUUUGAGACUAAAUUGAAGACUUAUCAAAGAAUUGGGGACCAAAUAAAAACAAUUAUUUAAAAUCUAGGGAAAAAAUAUAUAUUUGACGGGUGUAAUGCUCGUGACAACGUAUACGGAAGUUGUGGCGUGAUGGUGGCGCAUGCAGCCUUCUUUGAGCUUUGAUGAUGCCAGAAUUUUCUUGUCAGGUCUUCCUUUCAGGAUAACACAUGUCACCCUUCAAGUCCUGACAUGGCUAGUAACCUUUCUUUCUUCCUCUCUUAUCUCCUUCCCUUCCUUUCCCUUCCCUGGUUUUCAAGCAACAACCGAAAUUAAAAAAAAAAAAAAAAACUUUGUGGAUUGUGGUAGGAAAAACCCGUGAGUUGUAGUCUAUUUUGUAUUGUAAUGUGAUUGAACUACUUAAAACUUGGUAUAAGAAAAUUAACUUGAGGAUAUAUAUAUAUAUUGAAUGGAGAGGAUUUGUGUGCGUUGAGUGCCCAAUCUAAUAAAUUCUCAAACCUUCCCUUUUCCGAGCAAAAAUUAGCACAUCAAAUACAAAUACGAACUAGUUCAGAUCCAAGGAAAUGGCAGCUAGUUCAGAUUCAAGGAAAAGCGUUCAAAGCAUACAUCACAAACAAAUAAGCUAGCUAAAUAUGAUUGAAGGUCUGGACAUAUCCAGUUCCUAGUCAACCAAGGAGCACAGCCAAGUGCCACAGAAUUACGUACAGAAAGUUCAAUAUUAUUCGUAAAAGAAACAACUCCAACAUGGAGACCAACCACAUGAACUACUUACUGCCUUGACCAUAUCCUUCUAAUCAAUCAAACCCAAGGCUCUUCCUCAUCUCCAAAACCAACUCGUGGAGCUUUCCAGGUUCUGCAAGAGACUUGGCUACACUCUCUUUUUGCAGGCACCUUUUAGCCCAUGCAAUGAUCUUGGGACAUUGAGCUUCUAUGCUGAAGUUUCCGAUGGUCUCAUAA
RNAcentral lists this long non-coding RNA (3720 nucleotides) under Populus trichocarpa (black cottonwood). RNAcentral's name for it is "long non-coding RNA (PTRI_LNC002791)". The record is from RNAcentral. Lineage: Eukaryota; Viridiplantae; Streptophyta; Magnoliopsida; Malpighiales; Salicaceae.